GGAUUAGAUACCCUGGUAGUCCACGCUGUAAACGAUGUCUAUUAGGAGUCUGUGCCCUUGAGGCGUGGGUUCCAAAGCUAACGCGUUAAGUAGACCGCCUGGGGAGUACGGUCGCAAGAUUAAAACUCAAAUGAAUUGACGGGGGCCCGCACAAGCGGUGGAGCAUGUGGUUUAAUUCGAUGCAACGCGAAGAACCUUACCUACUCUUGACAUCCAGAGAACUUAGCAGAGAUGCUUUGGUGCCUUCGGGAACUCUGAGACAGGUGCUGCAUGGCUGUCGUCAGCUCGUGUCG
This 293-nucleotide ribosomal RNA is filed under the name uncultured bacterium. RNAcentral's name for it is "partial 16S ribosomal RNA". It matches the Rfam family "Bacterial small subunit ribosomal RNA", at positions 775 to 1067 of the family's 1533-position model. The record is from RNAcentral.